CCUGGACAUCAAGAGCGAAACUCCGUCCCAAAUAAUAAUAAUAAUAAUAAUAAUAAUAAUAAUACACAUCAGAGCAAAUGUAGGCUAUAUAAUAUGCUAAUAUAUAAACUCUGCCCUGCUUUAUCUACUUCUCUCCAAAUGAACAAAAAAUAAUAUCAGCGCAUUUAUUGAACUGAUUUAGUAUAGACACCAGUGUAACUCAAAGUCUAGAGCUAACCCCUGAAGCAGGUGUACAUUUAAUACAAUUUGAUGAUAAUGUAUACAUAAAGUUCAACUAGUCUUUCUCCUUGGAAAUCUCAUUGUCAAUUUCAUAAGGGACGCUAUACUGAGAAAAUGAAUCACAGGCCAGUUUUCUAGUACUAGGAGCUUGUGAACCAGUAUUUUCCAUGAACAAAAUCAACUUCCAAUGUGACCACAAGCAAACUUCACAUUCGUAUCUUCUGACAUCAUAACUAAUGGAUAUUCUACGGAAGAUAUCAAACAUAAACACUACCGUAAGAAAAGUCAGAAGGUUUUCAUGAAACUGCGUUUUCAGAAUUUUAACAAGCAACUACUUACCUCCCACUAUGCACAAGGAAAUUUAAAUGUAUUAAAAAUCCCUAAACCCCUCCAGUGUCAAAAAUAAAGGCCUUAAAAUCAUUUUCCAAACUGCGCUGAAAUCUGUCCGGCAAGCAAAAGUUCUCCUUCCCAUUAGAGUAAUAAGGCUGGCAUUUCAGUUUACUUGCAUGAAACCAAUUUUGCAAGUGACCACCUAAGUUUUGGCACAUAUUCUAAUAUAACCGUAUCUGAGAGAUCCAAGGACCUGGACACACUGCCUAGUAUGUGAAACCCGUCAGUUCAGCUCCCAUGCACCCGGCCAUAUCCCGCUAGCCGGUGGCCCCUUUCCACAUGCUGACGCACUGCCCAGCCCUGUACCGUUGGCGACCAGUGCAAAGUACCAGCCCAGUCUCAGAAACUUUGACUCAGUUAUCAGGACACUGAGCACCCACAAGCUGGGUGGGGGCUGGGGGGAGGUGUUUGUCAAGGCUCAGGAGGUCAACUCUGAAGCGGGGCAUUCCCUGCAGGUAGGGAUCUGCCCGGAACGCAGCCCAUCCCAAACUACAAAACCACAAGCAUCAACAGCAGGAGCCAAGCAAAGUGCUCGGGGGAGGAAGAGGAAGGGCGAGGGAGAGAAACGGUCGAGCACAGAAGCCUGCGUGUGGGUAAGAAAAUACUCUAACCACUCGCCCACCGGACGCAGGGCUGCUGGGACUGCGAAUCCAGCAGCAGCCACAGCGUAGCAGCGGGCGGCAGCCGCCCAGGCAGCAAUGUCAGGAGGGCACAGCUGGAGGCGGCGGCCGCAGAAGCCACUACCCCGCCCCCAGGCUAAAGUGUGCAAGGUGAGGCAAUGUGCUGCUGAAGAUACUCAGAUCCAUCGACUACCAGGAGAGGGGAGGAAGAUGUAGACUACAGUCUAUGGCUCAAACCAUUUGCAGCAGAAAAAUGAAGCGUAUCCUUUAACUGGGCAGAGAAGCCAUCCUGAGCAGCAGAGUACAGAUGCAGUGACUCAUGCCUAUAAUCCCAGGUUAAGGCGGA
This is a long non-coding RNA of Cercocebus atys (sooty mangabey), 1575 nucleotides long. RefSeq lists it as uncharacterized. The record is from RefSeq and is a predicted model, not a curated record. NCBI's taxonomy places the organism in Eukaryota, Metazoa, Chordata, Mammalia, Primates, Cercopithecidae. The transcript is spliced from 3 exons.